GGCCUGAUAGCACAAGUGGAUAGUGCCUCUCCUUACCUUAUGCUUGGACAUACUGUAAAGAUCAAGGGGAAGAUCCCCGUUCAAUUCCGGGUCAGGCCC
Mycena rosella is the source of this 99-nucleotide non-coding RNA. NCBI's taxonomy places the organism in Eukaryota, Fungi, Basidiomycota, Agaricomycetes, Agaricales, Mycenaceae. The record is from the annotation of a GenBank genome assembly.